Molecule: non-coding RNA, 1263 nt
Organism: Solanum lycopersicum (tomato)
Lineage: Eukaryota; Viridiplantae; Streptophyta; Magnoliopsida; Solanales; Solanaceae
Source: RefSeq, a predicted model, not a curated record
UGUGUGUUUUUGUGAUUGAUCUAGUAAAACUAUAAAUUAAGCAGAUCUAAAACUCAUAAAUCAAAACAAUAAAAAAGAAUUAUAUUGAAAUAUAUUUUACUUUCUUCCUAUUAUCUUAUUCUACUUUGAAUAGAAAGAUGCCUUAUGGACAACUUGAAGUUUAUAUUGGAUAUGCAAGAGGCCUUGAAGAUCAAAAUUGGCUCACUGAUAUGAAUCCAUAUGCGAUCAUUACUUGCCAUACUGAAGAGAAGAAAACUAGUACUGCAUCAGGUUAGUAGUACCUACAUAGUUUUAACCUGUAACAAAACGGUCUUUUAACAACGUAAGCUUUUUAUGAUUGUCAAUUCAUCAUAUGAUCUAUUAACUAAAUUCAUAUCUUAUAGGUGAAGGAGAGGAUCCUGAGUGGAAUGAGUCCUUCUUAUUCACUGUUUCUCGUAGUUGUGACGAGGUUCACAUCAAGAUUAUGGAUGAAAAUACGAUUGAAGAUGAUGAUUUUAUAGGAGAAACAACGUUAAUAAUCUCUCUAUUUCCCUUCUCAACUACAAACAUUAACUUUAUAUUAUGUAAAUAAUAUAUAGUCUCUAAUACAUGGUUCUUUUUGAUAUUGAAUUAUCAACACAUACUUCAAUUAGAAGAAGUAUUUCGCGAAGGAGAAGUUGAAGCAACCAUGUAUGACCUUUACAAGGAUGAUGAAAAUUGUGGAUCCGUCAAAAUUGGCCUCACUUUUACUCGCGAGGAGAGGGAUGAAUAUGACGAGGACUACUAGUUUACGCUGUCCAGUCCAAGAAGUUGAGUUUAUGAGAGGGUCGUUGAGUUAUCCAUACAACAAGAAAUAGUCCUAGGAAUAAAUUAUGAAACCAUAUUGAAAUGUUUGUUUCAAUUAUCAAUUUCUUAGUUUUUUGUAUGAAUAACAUAUGCAUUGGUUAUGCUGUAAUUUUUUGUAUUUAAUCGAUAUGAAUUUAAAGUGAAAUUGAAAUAUACGCGUUAGAAAAUUCUACAUUUAUAUCAUCAAUUUUUAAUUAGUUGAUUGUUGGUAUGUCAUCUCCCAUGCAUGUUUACUUCUAAUUCUAAUACAUGUAGUAUGCAUUUUGAAAUUAGUAAAUUAUUCCAAAUUUAAGAUGGUUGUAGUAUUUCAUAUAUUUGUAAUAAUAUGAAACUAUAACUAGCAAUUAGUGUUACAUAAAUGGAAAUUUUAUGAAUGUUAAUGUUAGAAGUUAUCUCAUCUUCUAAAUUCAAUAUUUCUUAAAGAGGCUCGCUAUAUUU